RNAcentral lists this ribosomal RNA (495 nucleotides) under uncultured bacterium. Its description in RNAcentral is "partial 16S ribosomal RNA". It matches the Rfam family "Bacterial small subunit ribosomal RNA", at positions 28 to 507 of the family's 1533-position model. The record is from RNAcentral.
GACGAACGCUGGCGGCGUGCCUAAUACAUGCAAGUAGAACGCUGAAGGAGGAGCUUGCUCUUCUGGAUGAGUUGCGAACGGGUGAGUAACGCGUAGGUAACCUGCCUGGUAGCGGGGGAUAACUAUUGGAAACGAUAGCUAAUACCGCAUAACAGUAGAUGUUGCAUGACAUUUACUUAAAAGGUGCAAUUGCAUCACUACCAGAUGGACCUGCGUUGUAUUAGCUAGUUGGUGGGGUAACGGCUCACCAAGGCGACGAUACAUAGCCGACCUGAGAGGGGGAUCGGCCACACUGGGAAUGGGACACGGCCCAGACUCCUGCGGGAGGCAGCAGUAGGGAAUCUUCGGCAAUGGACGGAAGUCUGACCGAGCAACGCCGCGUGAGUGAAGAAGGUUUUCGGAUCGUAAAGCUCUGUUGUAAGAGAAGAACGAGUGUGAGAGUGGAAAGUUCACACUGUGACGGUAUCUUAACAGAAAGGGACGGCUAACUACGUG